RNAcentral lists this ribosomal RNA (453 nucleotides) under uncultured bacterium. RNAcentral's name for it is "bacterial SSU rRNA". It matches the Rfam family "Bacterial small subunit ribosomal RNA", at positions 340 to 786 of the family's 1533-position model. The record is from RNAcentral.
UACGGGCAGCAGUGGGGAAUAUUGCACAAUGGGCGAAAGCCUGAUGCAGCUAUGCCGCGUGUAUGAAGAAGGCCUUAGGGUUGUAAAGUACUUUCAUCGGGGAGGAAAAACAAAACUAAUAAUUUUAUUUCUUGACGUUACCCGAAAAAGAAGCACCGGCUAACUCCGUGCCAGCAGCCGCGGUAAUACGGAGGGUGCUAGCGUUAAUCAGAAUUACUGGGCGUAAAGAGCACGUAGGUGGUUUUUUUAAGUCAGAUGUGAAAUCCCUGGGCUUAACCUAGGAACUGCAUUUUGAAACUGAAAUACUAGAGUAUCGUAGAGGGAGGUAGAAUUCUAGGUGUAGCGGUGAAAUGCGUAGAUAUCUGGAGGAAUACCUGUGGCGAAAGCGGCCUCCUAAACGAAUACUGACACUGAGGGUGCGAAAGCGUGGGGAGCAAACAGGGAUUAGAUACC